Molecule: unclassified non-coding RNA, 354 nt
Filed under: soil metagenome
Description: partial contains 5.8S ribosomal RNA, internal transcribed spacer 2, and large subunit ribosomal RNA
Rfam family: 5.8S ribosomal RNA (bases 1-120)
Source: RNAcentral
GAUGAAGAACGUAGCGAAAUGCGAUAAGUAAUGUGAAUUGCAGAAUUCCGUGAAUCAUCGAAUCUUUGAACGCACAUUGCGCCCCCUGGCAUUCCGGGGGGCAUGCCUGUCCGAGCGUCAUUUCUGCCCUCCAGCCCGGCUGGGUGUUGGGCGCUGUCCCCCCGGGGACACGCCCCAAAGACAGUGGCGGCGCCGCGUCGGGUCCUCGAGCGUAUGGGGCUUUGUCACCCGCUCGGGACGGACUCGUCGGCGCUGGUCUUCCUCCAGGCGACCCUUCGGGGCUCGUCUUCCUUCGGUUGACCUCGGAUCAGGUAGGGUUACCCGCUGAACUUAAGCAUAUCAAUAAGCGGAGGA